CAGUAAGCGGAGGAAAAGACACUAACAAGGAUUCCCCCAGUAGCGGCGAGCGAACAGGGAAGAGUCCAGCACCGAACCUCGUGCUCGUCAUCGGGUACCGAGGAAUGUGGUGUUUGGGAAGGCCGUGCGCGUCUGUCCGGUUUCGUCCAAGUCCUUAUGAACAAGGCCCUUACCCACAGAGGGUGUUAGGCCCGUAGGCUGGCGUGCCGCGACCGUGUAUUGGGUCUUUUCCCCAGAGUCGGGUUGCUUGAGCGUGCAGCCCUAAGCGGGAGGUAAACUCCUUCUAAGACUAAAUAUUGCCACGAGACCGAUAGCGAACAAGUACCGCGAGGGAAAGUUGAAAAGAACUUUGAAGAGAGAGUUCAAGAGUGCGUGAAACCGUUUAUGGGGUUAAACGGGUGGGCCCUCGAAGGUCGAAACGCGUCCCCGCUCUAGUGUGUCGUACGGUUGGACUUUUGACGCGGCGAUCUUUAAUCGGACGCUCGUGACGAGAGGUUCCCGGCCUGCGACUGCUUUUAGUGGGGGGCCUAGUAGGACUCCGCGACCGACUGGGUGUGCUGUUAUAAGGGGUGCCGGCGUCUCUUCUGUGUUCGAUUUCGGUCGGAUCGGUUGAGUACGGUGCUUUUUUGCCGAACAGUCCUGCCCGGUCGUGACCUGUCUUCUGCGGCGCGUGCUCGCACGUCGUCUGCGGACCCAGAGCGGAGAGUAGAUGUCGGGUCCCACCCGACCCGUCUUGAAACACGGACCAAGGAGUCUAACAUGUAAGCGAGUCGUCGAGUCGUUUAUGAAACUUGAGAGGCGCAAUGAAAGUAAAGCAGCCCCGAUGAGGGUGUUCUGCGAGGGAUGAUCCCGUCUUUUUUUUAAACCGAAGCGGGCGCAGUCCCAGGGCGUGCGAAGCCGCGACCUUGAGUCGGCCGUACGAACCCAGAGCUUACACGUUGGGACCCGAAAGAUGGUGACCUAUGCCUGGCCAGGACGAAGCCAGGGGAAACCCUGGUGGAGGUCCGCAGCGAUUCUGACGUGCAAAUCGAUCGUCGGAGUUGGGUAUAGGGGCGAAAGACUAAUCGAACCAUCUAGUAGCUGGUUCCCCCCGAAGUUUCCCUCAGGAUAGCUGGUGCUCGCAGAGUAGACGAACGGAGUUUCAUCCGGUAAAGCGAAUGAUUAGAGGCCUUGGGGUCGAAACGACCUCAACCUAUUCUCAAACUUUCAAUGGGUGAGAAGCCCGGCCUCUUUUAAAAUUUUUGAUAAGGCCGGGCAUUACGAAUCUGAGCGCCCAGUGGGCCAUUUUUGGUAAGCAGAACUGGCGCUGUGGGAUGAACCAAACGCCCGGUUAAGGCGCCUAAACAACGCACAUUUCGGAUCCCACGAAAAGGAGUUGGUUGCUAAAGACAGCAGGACGGUGGCCAUGGAGGUCGGAAUCCGCUCAGGAGUGUGUAACAACUCACCUGCCGAAGCAACUAGCCCUUAAAAUGGGAGGCGCUAUAGCGUUGUGCCUAUACCGGGCCGCCGGCCGGCAGUGAAACGUACUUUUCUCGAAGAGAGAUGUAAGACGCUGAGGCCCCGGCGAGUAGGGGGGUCGCGACGGUGCGCGUUGAAGGGUUGUGGGCGUGAGCCUGCCUGGAGCCGCCGUCGGUGCAGAUCUUGGUGGUAGUAGCAAAUACUCCAGAGGGAUCCUGGAGGACUGACGCGGAGAAGGGUUUCAUGUGAACAGUGGUUGGACAUGAGUCAGUCGAUCCUAAGCCGCAGGAGAAAUCCGUCUCAGUUAACGGCGUGUAUUAUAUUCUAAAGUCUGGGCUUUUCGGAGCUCUUUCUUUGAUGUUUUACAAACGAAGCGCCGCUGGGUUAAGGCGAAAGGGAAUCCGGUUCUAAUUCCGGAACCAAGCUGCGGCUACGUCCGUACAAACGAUUAACUCGAUUAUAUGGUCGCGGUAACGCGAAACAAGCCAGAGAAGCUGCCGAGAGCCCCGGGAAGAGUUUUCUUUUCUGCUUGAGGGACCGAGACCCUGGAAUUCCGUCGUGGAGCGAGAGGGUUUUGGAUACACGCUGGUAAAAAGGCGAUCCCGAAGAGCGUCGCGUUUCUGCGGCGUCCGUGGUCGCUCUCGGCUGGCCCUUGAAAAUCUGGUGGGAGGGUUACGUUUUUGGAUGCUCGCGCUUGCUCGUACCGAUUCCGCAUCAGGUCUCCUAG
This 2185-nucleotide ribosomal RNA is filed under the name Polyphemus pediculus. Its description in RNAcentral is "eukaryotic LSU rRNA". It matches the Rfam family "Eukaryotic large subunit ribosomal RNA", at positions 44 to 1871 of the family's 3401-position model. The record is from RNAcentral. Lineage: Eukaryota; Metazoa; Arthropoda; Branchiopoda; Diplostraca; Polyphemidae.